GACGAACGCUGGCGGCGUGCUUAACACAUGCAAGUCGAACGGAAAGGCCCUGCUUUUGUGGGGUGCUCGAGUGGCGAACGGGUGAGUAACACGUGAGUAACCUGCCCUUGACUUUGGGAUAACUUCAGGAAACUGGGGCUAAUACCGGAUAGGAGCUCCUGCUGCAUGGUGGGGGUUGGAAAGUUUCGGCGGUUGGGGCUGGACUCGCGGCUUAUCAGCUUGUUGGUGGGGUAGUGGCUUACCAAGGCUUUGACGGGUAGCCGGCCUGAGAGGGUGACCGGCCACAUUGGGACUGAGGUACGGCCCAGACGCCUACGGGAGGCAGCAGUGGGGAAUAUUGCACAAUGGGCGGAAGCCUGAUGCAGCAACGCCGCGUGCGGGAUGACGGCCUUCGGGUUGUAAACCGCUUUCGCCUGUGACGAAGCGUGAGUGACGGUAAUGGGUAAAGAAGCACCGGCUAACUACGUG
Molecule: ribosomal RNA, 468 nt
Filed under: uncultured bacterium
Lineage: Bacteria
Description: partial 16S ribosomal RNA
Rfam family: Bacterial small subunit ribosomal RNA
Source: RNAcentral